GGUCUGAGAGGAUGAUCAGCCACACUGGAACUGAGACACGGUCCAGACUCCUACGGGAGGCAGCAGUGGGGAAUAUUGCACAAUGGGGGAAACCCUGAUGCAGCAACGCCGCGUGGAGGAUGACGCAUUUCGGUGUGUAAACUCCUUUUAUAUAGGAAGAUAAUGACGGUACUAUAUGAAUAAGCACCGGCUAACUCCGUGCCAGCAGCCGCGGUAAUACGGAGGGUGCAAGCGUUACUCGGAAUCACUGGGCGUAAAGCGCGCGCAGGCGGCCUUUUAAGUUGGAUGUGAAAGCCUACGGCUCAACCGUAGAACUGCAUCCAAAACUACUAGGCUAGAGUGUGGGAGAGGAAGAUGGAAUUAGUUGUGUAGGGGUAAAAUCCGUAGAGAUAACUAGGAAUACCAAAAGCGAAGGCAAUCUUCUGGAACAUUACUGACGCUGAGGCGCGAAAGCGUGGGGGAGCAAACAGGAUUAGAUACCCUGGUAGUCCACGCCCUAAACGAUGAAUGUUAGUCGUCGGGUAGCUAGUCUAUUCGGUGAUGCAGCUAACGCAUUAAACAUUCCGCCUGGGGAGUACGGUCGCAAGAUUAAAACUCCAAANGAUUAGACGGGGACCCCGCACAAGUGGUGGAGCAUGUGGUUUAAUUCGAAGAUACGCGAAGAACCUUACCUAGCCUUGACAUAUUUAAGAACACUUUAGAGAUAGAGUGGUGCCUUCGGGAGCUUUUAUACAGGUGCUGCACGGCUGUCGUCAGCUCGUGUCGUGAGAUGUUGGGUUAAGUCCCGCAACGAGCGCAACCCUCGUCACUAGUUACUAACGGUUCGGCCGAGGACUCUAGUGAGACUGCCUUCGCAAGGAGGAGGAAGGUGAGGACGACGUCAAGUCAUCAUGGCCCUUACGGCUAGGGCAACACACGUGCUACAAUGGCCAGGACAAUGAGAAGCAAUACCGCGAGGUGGAGCAAAUCUAUAAACCUGGUCUCAGUUCGGAUUGUUCUCUGCAACUCGAGAGCAUGAAGCUGGAAUCACUAGUAAUCGUAGAUCAGCUAUGCUACGGUGAAUACGUUCCCGGGUCUUGUACUCACCGCCCGUCACACCAUGGGAGUUGAUUUCA
Molecule: ribosomal RNA, 1115 nt
Filed under: uncultured Sulfurovum sp.
Lineage: Bacteria; Pseudomonadati; Campylobacterota; Epsilonproteobacteria; Campylobacterales; Sulfurovaceae
Description: bacterial SSU rRNA
Rfam family: Bacterial small subunit ribosomal RNA
Source: RNAcentral